ACGAACGCUGGCGGCGUGCUUAACACAUGCAAGUCGCACGGAAAGGCCCUGCUUGCAGGGUCCUCGAGUGGCGAACGGGUGAGUAACACGUGGGUGAUCUGCCCUGCACUUCGGGAUAAGCUUGGGAAACUGGGUCUAAUACCGGAUAGGAACCAUCUUUAGUGUGGUGGUUGGAAAGUUUUUUCGGUGUAGGGUGAGCUCGCGGCCUAUCAGCUUGUUGGUGGGGUAAUGGCCUACCAAGGCGGCGACGGGUAGCCGGCCUGAGAGGGUGUACGGCCACAUUGGGACUGAGAUACGGCCCAGACUCCUACGGGAGGCAGCAGUGGGGAAUAUUGCACAAUGGGCGCAAGCCUGAUGCAGCGACGCCGCGUGGGGGAUGAAGGACUUCGGGUUGUAAACGCCUUUCGCUAGGGACGAAGCUUUUUGUGACGGUACCUAGAGAAGAAGCACCGGCUAACUACGUG
RNAcentral lists this ribosomal RNA (464 nucleotides) under uncultured bacterium. Its description in RNAcentral is "partial 16S ribosomal RNA". It matches the Rfam family "Bacterial small subunit ribosomal RNA", at positions 29 to 507 of the family's 1533-position model. The record is from RNAcentral.